UUCUUCUUCCUCUGAGCUGCUCUCCACAUCACUGCGAUCGUCCUUCGACACCUGCGUGGGACGGGGCCAGAAGUACGAAAGGGAUAAGCCAGGAACCUGACCUCAGGCAUGACAGUAUUCAGUUUUCUGCAGAGCAUCAACACCCACUGCACAGAAAGGGUUGGGGAAAGAAGUUUCCCCAGCAAGAGGAGGGGCACAUAAGGCUUCUGACCAUCUGGAGCUAAUGAAGAGGUGGCUUCUUAGACAAGGGCAGGGCCACGUGAGUAUCUUUUUCAAUCUUGCCCUGCUGGAUCUGCAAACCUGAUUUAAUUCUGUGAUUUACAAUUCAAUAACGCCCAACAGAAUACCUUUAGAGAUGCAAUGGAAUGGGCAGUUUCCCUCACAGCCCAGUCAGCAGCUAUGUCCAUUCUUCCCAAAGCCUUUCUAACCCGUCUGGAAGACCCACUGAUACUGGGUCACAAUGCAGUCACUUGACAUGGAUCUGGGAGGAAGGCAGCAGGCCUGUCAGGGAGAGGAAAAAAGUUCUUCCUCCAUUUAGGGGAAAUGGGGGAAAACAA
Long non-coding RNA from Lynx canadensis (Canada lynx), 557 nucleotides. RefSeq lists it as uncharacterized. The transcript has 2 exons. The record is from RefSeq and is a predicted model, not a curated record. Lineage: Eukaryota; Metazoa; Chordata; Mammalia; Carnivora; Felidae.